Molecule: small nucleolar RNA, 139 nt
Organism: Phragmites australis (common reed)
Lineage: Eukaryota; Viridiplantae; Streptophyta; Magnoliopsida; Poales; Poaceae
Product: small nucleolar RNA Z247
Exons: 1
Source: RefSeq, a predicted model, not a curated record
CCCCUCGACGAUGAGGAGAUCAUGUCGUACAUCCUCUCCAGCCUCGACAUCAACUACAAUCCACUUGUGUCAACUGUUGCUGCACGUGUGGAGCCCAUCUCUGUUGGAGAACUAUAUGCAUAGAUGUUGUCCUUUGAGA